CUACCGGUUGAUCCUGCCAGUAGCAUUGUUGUCUCGAUUAAGCCAUCAUGUGUAGGAAGACCUCAGAGUGAAACUCGAAUGGCAAUAAACACCAUAGUUUGUUUGAUGGUACCUACUACUCGGAUAACCGUAGUUUCUAGGCAAUCGUGCAACAAACCCCGACUUUAAGGGAUGCUUAUUAGACGGGUCGACGCGGGCUUUGCCCGUUGCUGCGAUGAUUCAUGAUUCACGGAUCGCCCCUUACGGCGACGCAUUUUUUCUGCCCUAUCCUUUCGGUAGAUAGUGGACCAUGUGGUGACGGGUGACGGAGAAAGCCCUCGAGGAGAAGGCCUGAGAAACGGCUACCUCAUCCGAGGUCGGUCAGCACGCCGCAAAUUACCCAAUCGCUGACACGGGGAGGUUCAAUUGCAAUACCGGGCUCGAUCGAGCGGUAAUUGGUUGAACAACAGCUUAACGAGGACCAUUGGACAACGUGCCAGCGGCGGUAAUUCCAGAGGUAUAUUUAAGUUGUUGCAGUUAAAAAGCUCGUAUUGGACUUUGGCAUGGGCCGGCCGGUCCGCCCCGGGUGUGCACCGUCGUCUCGUCCCUUCUGCCGGCGACUCCUGGCCUAAUUGGCCGGGUCGGCCUCCAACACGUUACUUUGAAAAAUUAGAGGCUCAAACAACCUACGCUCUGUAUACAUUAGCAUGGGAAACAAUAGGACGGCCUAUUACGUUGCCCGGAUCGGAGUAAUUUAACGGGACAGUCGGGCAUUCGUUUUCAAGUAGAGGUGAAAUUCUUGAGAUUUUGAAAGCGAAAACUCGAAAGCAUUUGCCAUGAUGUUUUCAUUAAAAGAACGAAAGUUAUGCCCAGCGAUCCGAUAGUCCUAGUCUCAACCAUAAACGAUGCCGAAGGGAUCGGCGGAUGUUGCUUUUAGGACUCCGCCGGCACCUUAUGAGAAAUCAAAGUCUUUGGUUCCUAAGUAUGGUCGCAAGGCUGAAACUUAAAGGAAUUGACGGAAGGCACCACCAGGAGUUGCGGCUUAAUUUGACUCAACACGGGAAACUUCAGGUCCAGACAUAGUAAGGAUUGCAGACUGAAGCUCUUUCGAGAUUCUAUGGGUUGGUGCAUGGCCGUUCUUAGUUGUGGAGCGAUUUGUCGGUUAAUUCCGUUAACGAACGAGACCUCAGCCGCUAACUAGCUAUGCGGAGGUAUCCCUCCGCGGCCAGCUUCUUAGAGGGACUACGGCCUUUCAAGCCGCGGAAGUUUGAGCAAUAACAGGUCUGUGAUGCCCUUAGAUGUUCUCCGCACGCGCGCACACUGAUGUAUUCAACGAGCAUAUAGCCUUGGCCGACAGGCCCGGGUAAUCUUUGAAAUUUCAUCGUGAUGGGGAUAGAUCAUUGCAAUUGUUGGUCUUCAACGAGGAAUUCCUAGUAAGCGCGAGUCAUCAGCUCGCGUUGACUACGUCCCUGCCCUUUGUACACACCGCCCGUCGCUCCUACCGAUUGAAUGAUCCGGUGAAGUGUUCGGAUCGCGGCGACGUGGGCGGUUCGCUGCCCGCGACGUCGCGAGAAGUCCACUGAACCUUAUCAUUUAGAGGAAGGAGAAGUCGUAACAAGGUUUCCGUAGGUGAACCUGCGGAAGGAUCAUUG
Ipomoea nil (Japanese morning glory) is the source of this 1631-nucleotide ribosomal RNA. It matches the Rfam family "Eukaryotic small subunit ribosomal RNA". Lineage: Eukaryota; Viridiplantae; Streptophyta; Magnoliopsida; Solanales; Convolvulaceae. The record is from Rfam.